AUGGGACCGCCGCCGUCCAGGCUGCCCCUGCUGGCCGCCCUCGUCGCGGCGGCGCUGCUCGCCGGCGCGGCCGCGGCGACGGAGGAGGCAUACGUCACGCUGCUCUACGGCGACGAGUUCGUCCUCGGCGUACGCGUCCUGGGCAAGUCCAUCCGCGACACCGGCACGCGGCGCGACAUGGUCGUGCUCGUCUCCGACGGCGUCUCCGAGUACUCGCGGCAGCUCCUCGAGGCUGAUGGUUGGAUCGUGAAGCGUAUAACUUUAUUGGCUAAUCCUAACCAAGUGAGACCAACGAGGUUUUGGGGUGUCUACACGAAGUUAAAGAUAUUCAACAUGACAAGCUACAAAAAAGUUGUUUAUCUUGAUGCAGAUACUGUAGUUGUAAAAAGUAUUGAGGAUGUUUUCAAGUGUGGGAAGUUCUGUGGGAACUUGAAGCAUUCUGAAAGAAUGAAUUCCGGAGUGAUGGUUGUGGAGCCAUCUGAAACUGUUUUCAAGGAUAUGAUUAGCCAAGUAGACCGGUUGCCUUCCUACACUGGAGGGGAUCAAGGUUUUCUUAAUUCGUAUUAUGCUGAUUUUGCUAACUCCCGCGUGUAUGAGCCAGACUCACCUUUAACACCUGAACCGGAGACACAGCGCCUUUCUACCUUGUAUAAUGCUGAUGUUGGUCUUUACAUGCUAGCCAACAAGUGGAUGGUUGAUGAGAAGGAACUUAGAGUUAUUCACUACACACUAGGUCCCCUUAAACCCUGGGACUGGUGGACAGCUUGGCUUGUAAAACCUGUGGAGAUAUGGCAGGAUGUUAGGCAAAAACUUGAAGAAUCUCUUCCGGGAACCGGUGGGGGAAGGAACCCUCAUGAUCAGCUGGUCGUCAAAUUUUUAUUCAUUCUUCCCUUCUGCCUGCUGUUAUUUGGUUAUUACCAAUCAUGCUUUCAGAACAAUAAGGAUUUUCCAAGUGUGCAGUCUUUAUGUGUGUUCGCUAGAAGAGGCCGUCAUAAGUACAAGUCUGAAGAGGCACUUCCAUCUUAUUCAGCAGUUGGUGUUUCAUCAUCUACAUUUUCGACUUCAAAUCAAAGAAUCUCUAACGGGCCACAUCUGAAGCUGCCUUCUUAUUUUGGGGCGAUUGCUGUGCUAAUCUGUUUUAUGUCUGCUGGUGUCUCUCUUGCCUUUGCUUUCACUAUCAUUCCACGACAAAUUAUGCCAUGGACAGGUCUGCUACUGAUGUUUGAGUGGACCUUCGUGGCAUUCUUCUUAUUGUUUGGUGGCUAUCUCCGUUUUGUCUAUCGAUGGGGAAGUAUCAGUGCAACUCAUGUGGGAUAUAGCAAUUCUGAUUCAUCAGAGAAUCACAUGAGUACAGGUCAUCAGCGCAAUAUAUCCGACUUUGACAUGGAGGCGACAUUUUACUGGGCAGGGAUGGCUGUCAUAGCUGUCAUUACUGUAUUUUCACCAACUAUCUUGGGUAUAACUGCAUUAUUUACAAAGCUAGGGUUGAUGGUUGCUGGCGGUGUUCUGCUGGCAUCUUUUAUGACGUAUGCUUCGGUGCAUCUUGCUAUCUCAGCCUUCCACAAGGGCCAGAAAGAUAGGAAUGCGUCGAGAACUAGAAGAAUUUGUUUUUGGUGUUUGUAG
RNAcentral lists this ribosomal RNA (1623 nucleotides) under Triticum aestivum (bread wheat). RNAcentral's name for it is "partial small subunit ribosomal RNA". The record is from RNAcentral. Lineage: Eukaryota; Viridiplantae; Streptophyta; Magnoliopsida; Poales; Poaceae.